CAUCCGGAUUCCCUAGUAGCGGCGAGCGAGCGGGAAGAGCUCAAAUUUAUAAUCUGGCACUUUCAGUGUCCGAGUUGUAAUCUCUAGAAGUGUUUUCCGCGUUGGACCGCACACAAGUCUGUUGGAAUACAGCGGCACAGUGGUGACACCCCCGUACACGGUGCGGACGCCCAGCGCUUUGUGAUACACUUUCGAAGAGUCGAGUUGUUUGGGAAUGCAGCUCAAAUUGGGUGGUAAAUUCCAUCUAAAGCUAAAUAUUGGCGAGAGACCGAUAGCGAACAAGUACCGUGAGGGAAAGAUGAAAAGCACUUUGGAAAGAGAGUUAACAGUACGUGAAAUUGUUGGAAGGGAAACGCUUGAAGUCAGACUUGCUUGCCGGAGCUUGCUUCGGUUUGCAGGCCAGCAUCAGUUUUCCGGGGUGGAUAAUGGCGGUUAGAAGGUAGCAGCUUCAGCUGUGUUAUAGCUUUCCGCUGGAUACAUCCUGGGGGACUGAGGAACGCAGCGUGCUUUUAGCGGGGGUUUCGACCUCUUCACGCUUAGGAUGCUGGUGUAAUGGCUUUAAACGACCCGUCUUGAACCACGGACCAAAACCAAAGAC
This 598-nucleotide ribosomal RNA is filed under the name Rhodotorula paludigena. RNAcentral describes it as "eukaryotic LSU rRNA". It matches the Rfam family "Eukaryotic large subunit ribosomal RNA", at positions 67 to 664 of the family's 3401-position model. The record is from RNAcentral. Lineage: Eukaryota; Fungi; Basidiomycota; Microbotryomycetes; Sporidiobolales; Sporidiobolaceae.